UCAAACUUGGUCAUUUAGAGGAAGUAAAAGUCGUAACAAGGUUUCCGUAGGUGAACCUGCGGAAGGAUCAUUACCGAGUUAGGGUCUGCUCCGUGCGGCCCGACCUCCCAACCCUGUGUCUACUGUACCUUGUCGUUGCUUCGGCGGACCGGUUGACCAACUGGUCUUGACCGCCGGGGGUUACCCCCCCCUGGAGAGCGUCCGCCGACGGCCUCAACACAACUUCUUGUACCGAAACUUGUCGUCUGAAUAUAGUACUUGAUACCAAUCAAAAACAAAACUUUCAACAACGGAUCUCUUGGUUCUGGCAUCGAUGAAGAACGCAGC
This 327-nucleotide unclassified non-coding RNA is filed under the name uncultured fungus. RNAcentral's name for it is "partial contains small subunit ribosomal RNA, internal transcribed spacer 1, and 5.8S ribosomal RNA". The stretch from base 1 to 73 matches the Rfam family "Eukaryotic small subunit ribosomal RNA", at positions 1759 to 1831 of the family's 1831-position model. The record is from RNAcentral. Lineage: Eukaryota; Fungi.